AUUGAACGCUGGCGGCAUGCUUUACACAUGCAAGUCGAACGGCAGCGCGGGCUUCGGCCUGGCGGCGAGUGGCGAACGGGUGAGUAAUGCAUCGGAACGUGCCCAGUAGUGGGGGAUAGCCCGGCGAAAGCCGGAUUAAUACCGCAUACGACCUGAGGGUGAAAGCGGGGGACCGAAAGGCCUCGCGCUAUUGGAGCGGCCGAUGUCGGAUUAGCUAGUUGGUGGGGUAAAGGCUUACCAAGGCGACGAUCCGUAGCUGGUCUGAGAGGACGACCAGCCACACUGGGACUGAGACACGGCCCAGACUCCUACGGGAGGCAGCAGUGGGGAAUUUUGGACAAUGGGGGCAACCCUGAUCCAGCCAUGCCGCGUGCGGGAAGAAGGCCUUCGGGUUGUAAACCGCUUUUGUUCGGGAAGAAAUCCUCUGGGCUAAUACCCCGGGGGGAUGACGGUACCGGAAGAAUAAGCACCGGCUAACUACCUG
This 484-nucleotide ribosomal RNA is filed under the name uncultured bacterium. RNAcentral's name for it is "partial 16S ribosomal RNA". It matches the Rfam family "Bacterial small subunit ribosomal RNA", at positions 28 to 507 of the family's 1533-position model. The record is from RNAcentral.